This 229-nucleotide ribosomal RNA is filed under the name uncultured bacterium. RNAcentral's name for it is "partial 16S ribosomal RNA". It matches the Rfam family "Bacterial small subunit ribosomal RNA", at positions 568 to 796 of the family's 1533-position model. The record is from RNAcentral.
UGCGUAGGCGGGUUAAUAAGUCAGUGGUGAAAACCUUCAGCUUAACUGGAGACUUGCCAUUGAUACUGUUAGUCUUGAGUACGGUCAAGGUAGGCGGAAUGUGUAAUGUAGCGGUGAAGUGCUUAGAUAUUACACAGAACACCGAUUGCGAAGGCAGCUUACUGGACCAUUACUGACGCUGAGGCACGAAAGCGUGGGGAGCGAACAGGAUUAGAUACCCUGGUAGUCC